Molecule: long non-coding RNA, 869 nt
Organism: Danio aesculapii
Lineage: Eukaryota; Metazoa; Chordata; Actinopteri; Cypriniformes; Danionidae
Exons: 3
Source: RefSeq, a predicted model, not a curated record
UCUGAUUCCUCUACAGUCUGAAGAGGAAGAGGUGAAGAAUUGAUCAAAAAGGUGGCCAAAGCCAAUUCAUUUCUUUGGCGACUCAGAUGAUGAAAGUGAGGAGGAAGGCCAUCAUAACAAGAGACCCAGGGGUCCAACCAAAAUCAUAAACGAACCACCUGUUCCUGUCAUCCCAGCGCUACCUUUUAUGCCAAAUAGUAAUAGAGCUGUUCUUCCUCCAACCACUUCACCAGCAGAAGAACAAAUCCCUUCUACAAGCCAGGUCUACAGACCUACCUGGCGUGAGGGAAGAUAUGGUUCAGAAAACAUAUCCUGCUCUGAUUUGUUAAAAUGUCCUCUGAGUAUCAAAGGAAGUGGAGACGACGAAGAUCAAGAGUUGAUGCCUUGGCUGAAGAUAGCAGCUCUGAGUCCGAUGGGUCAGCGGAGCCAGUCUUGGCAGGGGAGAGCAUUGCUGUUGCCAAGGAUUCAACAAAUGAUGAUUUACAACUUAUGGAGGGUUGCAGUUCUUCUUUUAGCACAGCAGCAAUGGCUGUUGGCAGUGAAGAAGAAUGCACUACCGAAGAUCACUAUUGCUGCACUGAUUCUACUGAAACUGAGUCUGAUCAUCUGGAUGAGACCCUUCAUUCUUCACUAGAAACAGCAUCUCUCCACAAGGACUUGGCAAGAUGGGCUACAUCCACAAACCAGACACACAAAGCAGUUAACGAACUUCUUCAUGUACUCAGACGUCAUGGUCACAGACUUCCCAAAGACGCUAGAAGUCUUCUUGAAACACCACAAGGAGUGCCAGUUCAAAAUAAAUGUAAAGGACAGUACAUUUAUUAUGGUAUUGAGCGUUACCUACUUGAACACUUCUCAAAUGAGACACA